This 323-nucleotide unclassified non-coding RNA is filed under the name Zea mays. RNAcentral's name for it is "misc RNA Zm00001eb314980". The record is from RNAcentral. Lineage: Eukaryota; Viridiplantae; Streptophyta; Magnoliopsida; Poales; Poaceae.
GCUGGAGAAGGACAUCCGCGGCGCCAUGAAGGACGGCGGCGCUGGCUGGUGCUGAUGAUGGUGCUCUGGGUUGUACAUGUCAACACAUGCCAUGCAUCGCCACACGACGCACAAGCGCGCUGGUUUCUUUUGUUCCUCUCCCUAGCUCCCACCUCUCUGAGCUCUUACGCCCGUCGUUGUUACUUAUCAAGCUAUGAGAUCAAGACCGGAGUUAGGUGCGGCCGGCCGGCCCAGUGGCCACCUCCAAGGGUGGAAUGGGGUUGUGGGAAGCAGCCUGCGGGUGCUGGAACCCUCUCGCACCGCGCGCCUGGACUCGAUCUAGG